This 75-nucleotide transfer RNA is filed under the name uncultured Actinomycetes bacterium. Its description in RNAcentral is "uncultured actinobacterium tRNA-Lys". It matches the Rfam family "tRNA". From Rfam's summary of the family: Transfer RNA (tRNA) molecules are approximately 80 nucleotides in length. Their secondary structure includes four short double-helical elements and three loops (D, anti-codon, and T loops). The record is from RNAcentral. RNAcentral also lists the same sequence under 1 other name. Lineage: Bacteria; Bacillati; Actinomycetota; Actinomycetes.
GGGCCGUUAGCUCAAUUGGCAGAGCAGCGGACUUUUAAUCCGCGGGUUGUGGGUUCGAUCCCCACACGGCCCACC